This 468-nucleotide ribosomal RNA is filed under the name uncultured bacterium. Its description in RNAcentral is "partial 16S ribosomal RNA". It matches the Rfam family "Bacterial small subunit ribosomal RNA", at positions 28 to 507 of the family's 1533-position model. The record is from RNAcentral.
GACGAACGCUGGCGGCGUGCUUAACACAUGCAAGUCGAACGGAAAGGCCCUGCUUUUGUGGGGUGCUCGAGUGGCGAACGGGUGAGUAACACGUGAGUAACCUGCCCUUGACUUUGGGAUAACUUCAGGAAACUGGGGCUAAUACCGGAUAGGAGCUCCUGCUGCAUGGUGGGGGUUGGAAAGUUUCGGCGGUUGGGGAUGGACUCGCGGCUUAUCAGCUUGUUGGGUGGGUAGUGGCUUACCCAGGCUUUGACGGGUAGCCGGCCUGAGAGGGUGAACGGCCACAUUGGGACUGAGAUACGGCCCAGACUCCUACGGGAGGCAGCAGUGGGGAAUAUUGCACAAUGGGCGGAAGCCUGAUGCAGCAACGCCGCGUGCGGGAUGACGGCCUUCGGGUGGUAAACCGCUUUCGCCUGUGACGAAGCGUGAGUGACGGUAAUGGGUAAAGAAGCACCGGCUAACUACGUG